RNAcentral lists this ribosomal RNA (442 nucleotides) under uncultured bacterium. RNAcentral describes it as "partial 16S ribosomal RNA". It matches the Rfam family "Bacterial small subunit ribosomal RNA", at positions 338 to 795 of the family's 1533-position model. The record is from RNAcentral.
CCUACGGGAGGCAGCAGUGGGGAAUAUUGGGCAAUGGGCGCAAGCCUGACCCAGCAACGCCGCGUGAAGGAAGAAAGCUUUCGGGUUGUAAACUUCUUUUAAGAGGGAAGAGCAGAAGACGGUACCUCUUGAAUAAGCCACGGCUAACUACGUGCCAGCAGCCGCGGUAAUACGUAGGUGGCAAGCGUUAUCCGGAGUUAUUGGGUGUAAAGGGCGUGUAGGCGGGAAAGCAAGUCAGAUGUGAAACCUCAGGGCUCAACCCUGAGCCUGCAUUUGACACUGUUUUUCUUGAGUGCUGGAGAGGCAAUCGGAAUUCCGUGGGUAGCGGUGAAAUGCGUAGAUAUACGGAGGAACACCAGUGGCGAAGGCGGAUUGCUGGACAGUAACUGACGCUGAGGCGCGAAAGCGUGGGGAGCAAACAGGAUUAGAUACCCUAGUAGUC